Molecule: ribosomal RNA, 514 nt
Filed under: uncultured bacterium
Lineage: Bacteria
Description: bacterial SSU rRNA
Rfam family: Bacterial small subunit ribosomal RNA
Source: RNAcentral
AUUGAACGCUGGCGGCAUGCUUUACACAUGCAAGUCGAACGGCAGCACAGCAGAGGUAACUCUGUGGGUGGCGAGUGGCGAACGGGUGAGUAAUACAUCGGAACGUACCCUGUUGUGGGGGAUAACUACGCGAAAGCGUAGCUAAUACCGCAUACGCCCUGAGGGGGGAAAGCGGGGGACCCUAAAUAGAGCGCACUGGGGAGUGCGUUGUAUUUAGGGCCUCGCGCAAUAGGAGCGGCCGAUGUCGGAUUAGCUAGUUGGUGAGGUAAAGGCUUACCAAGGCGACGAUCCGUAGCUGGUCUGAGAGGAUGAUCAGCCACACUGGGACUGAGACACGGCCCAGACUCCUACGGGAGGCAGCAGUGGGGAAUUUUGGACAAUGGGGGCAACCCUGAUCCAGCCAUGCCGCGUGAACGAUGAAGGCCUUAGGGUUGUAAAGUUCUUUUACCCGUGACGAUGAUGACGGUAACGGGGGAAUAAGCUCCGGCUAACUUCGUGCCAGCAGCCGCGGUAA